This 64-nucleotide transfer RNA is filed under the name Opecarcinus hypostegus. RNAcentral describes it as "tRNA-Asp". Lineage: Eukaryota; Metazoa; Arthropoda; Malacostraca; Decapoda; Cryptochiridae. The record is from RNAcentral.
AAAAAAUUAGUUAACUUAUAACAUAUGCUUGUCAUGCAUAAAUUAUCUUCUAAGAUAUUUUUUA